This 506-nucleotide ribosomal RNA is filed under the name uncultured bacterium. Its description in RNAcentral is "partial 16S ribosomal RNA". It matches the Rfam family "Bacterial small subunit ribosomal RNA", at positions 29 to 523 of the family's 1533-position model. The record is from RNAcentral.
AGUGAACGCUGGCGGUAGGCCUAACACAUGCAAGUCGAACGGCAGCACAGAGGAGCUUGCUCCUUGGGUGGCGAGUGGCGGACGGGUGAGGAAUACAUCGGAAUCUACCCUGUCGUGGGGGAUAACGUAGGGAAACUUACGCUAAUACCGCAUACGACCUACGGGUGAAAGCAGGGGAUCUUCGGACCUUGCGCGAUUGAAUGAGCCGAUGUCGGAUUAGCUAGUUGGCGGGGUAAAGGCCCACCAAGGCGACGAUCCGUAGCUGGUCUGAGAGGAUGAUCAGCCACACUGGAACUGAGACACGGUCCAGACUCCUACGGGAGGCAGCAGUGGGGAAUAUUGGACAAUGGGCGCAAGCCUGAUCCAGCCAUACCGCGUGGGUGAAGAAGGCCUUCGGGUUGUAAAGCCCUUUUGUUGGGAAAGAAAUCCGUCUGGUUAAUACCCGGGUGGGAUGACGGUACCCAAAGAAUAAGCACCGGCUAACUUCGUGCCAGCCGCCGCGGUAA